GGAGCACGGGCCGGACAGCAUCUCCGCCUUCCUCCGCCCGCCGGAGCCCUUGCCUGUCCUGGCGAAGAAGACGACGUAUCUCCGCUCUGGUCAUCCACAUGGAUCAUGGGCCGGGCGGGGAGAUGGUAAUUGACCUCCAAUCGCCAUGCCCGUCCACUUCCCCUUUUCGCUCGAUUCCGUCAGUUAUGACUCGAUUCCUUCAAGGAGCAGGAGGAUGACGGUGAGGCGGAGCUCCUGGACUCACCGAGAUCGUGGGAGGAUGCUUAGAGGCGUCGGGGAAGCGCCGGAUUGAGGGAACCGACGGUGGCCCUGUUCAGCCGGAUGUGAAGACGAUUCGCUCUUUUUAGUCCCGGCUAGAUUCCAUAAAUAAUUAGGAGGAUGAUGUCGAGGCGGAGCUCCUGGACACGGCGGCCUGCCCCGAGAGGUUGAGCAGCGAGGGACCUCGUGAUGGUACAUCGGCGGACUGCAAGGGAGCUGGAGCUUGGAGGUGGUGCUGAGCAGAGGAAGACGGUUGUAUUGGUGCUGAGUUGCUCGCGUGAAGAGGAGUUUGGGAUGCUCGUCCGUGCAGAGAAGAUGGACAAAGCAAAGAGAUAUUUAAAUUUCUAGAUUGCUGAUGCAAACUGAAUUUUGGUGCUAUUGCUAACUAAAUGGUUGGACAUGGGCGGCGGCUGGACGGAACAUGAAGGGUGCGUCGACGGAGGAGGAGCGGUUGAAGACCUCUAGCGAGUCAGGCUGCAGAUGCUACUUGGUCCACCGAGGUGGAAGUCAUGGUCAACAUGAAUGAGCGACGGCGAGAGCGAUGAGAAAGAGGUGGUACCGUCCUAGGAGCUUUGCGACAAGGACAAAAUCAUGGCCUUCUUCAACAACCUGCUGAGCGAGUGGUGCCAACAGGUUGAUAAGAUGCAUGUUCGGUCAAGGGAAAGGCCGUCGUGACCACGUGUGCUCUUCAAGCUCCACAAGAAAAAGGUAUGAACCAUCUUCUACACUUGGACUUCUCUUCUUGUUUUUAAGAUUUGAAUCAAUCGGUGCUUAGGUUGCAACUUUUACUAAAGGAAAAAAACAUGAUGCAUCUACCCGUGUUAAUGCUAAUCUUUACUAUUAAGGUGAAACCUGUGAAUGGCUGGUGUCACACCCGAAAAAAUACAAACAAAUGCCACCGCACUAACUAACAAUCAAUAGUUCAGUUUUGUUGUUGAAAGGGCGUGAUACUUGGCGUAACUAUCCUGAUUAACAGGAAUCAAAUCCGAAAUUAUUCUCAAGAAAAAUAAACAAACAAACUCAAGAGUAAUACCGAAGGCAUGGGCACGCAAGCGUGGGUGAUGCGAUAUUACAUGUCAUUCCUAGGCAAGUUCUUGGCGGAGUACCUGUUAGUCUUCCUGGAGAUAGUGUUAGAGGAUGAGGUCCUGGAGUCCCGCGGAGCUCCCUCAUGGAUCUAAUGGAGUCAAACAAGAGCGUGAUGCUGGCGAGCAGGGCCGAUGAAGUUCUGCUCUGCCUUAAGAAAUAAUUUCCAGGCAUGCCUCCAUUUCCCACUAUGCUAUCGUGAGAAAUCUUUACUGCAGGAUGGUGAAAUUCUUAUCCCAAACUUCCGAAUCAAACAUAGCAUGCAUAUUCGUGUAAGCAUGUGGGAAGCACUUUAGUGUACAAUGAAAUUGAAUUUACCACUUAGUUUGUUGUUUCUACUUAAAGAAUCGGGGGCUUCCCUAAAAUAGGAAUAUAUCUGAAUCAUGUUUUAUAACUUGAGUUUUCUUGCAUGCAAGGGGAAAUCUUUGUGAUCUGAUUUUCUUUCUGAAUAAUCAAGUACGCCUUCUGUGCACUCAGAUUAUGUGCUUCAUUUCAAAACAUGCAAAACCCUUAUUUGAGUUCAUUGGUUUUACAUCAUUUCGGCUUGUACAUUUUUUUCAAUAGCUAAUAUUAGAACUCAACAUUCCCAAAUUGGUAUUAAUUCAAAGAUAUCCAAUUCUCUGCGAGAAUAAUCUUUCUUGUAUAUUAUUCCCAGAGGAGUCUUUGAUUAUUAGAAAUAGUUUGAGAUUGAUAAAUUUUAACAGUAUUGUUUACUAUAUUUCUUCAGUUCCACUUUCUUGUUCCCUCCACCUUUUUGAUGUCUAAUGAAAUAAAUGAAUAAUUAAAUAUCACUAAUUAUUUUUACAAAUAGGAUAACACUAGCACUAAAUACGCUCCUCAAUUAUUUGUCCUAAUUUGAAUCUAUACAUAAUUUGUGCUUAAAAUGUAAAUUCUCCAGAGAUAUCUCUCUUGGUAUUUAAGUUCAUACAAAGGAGAGUUUGAAUCGAGAAAAGAGUUUGGUGGAAAGGAGAAUACUAGGGAAGAGAUCAUCGGGAGCAUAAAGACAACAAAGAUGCAAGGGGUGGCUAAUUGGAUUUUUCUAUACCAAUUUUCUCGGGAUCAAGAACAAACCAAGCUCCUACCUUCACCAAAUGAAGGUAGUGAAGACUAUUGUGUUGUUGUUGUUGCAUCGGCGGAGAUGAGCCUCUCGAUGGAUGUCGGUAUAAUCAUCGUCUAGGUGAAUGGGAAGAAGGUUGUUGUCCGGGCAACGCCGUGGGCGUGAAACCGAAGUAGUGUUGUAGGGAACAUUCAAGAUAUCCGACGGAGGAGACGCAAAGGCGGAGUGGGGCGACAUGCUUCGAAGCUACUUGGACUCGUUCAGUACGUCUGUACGUCUUUGGUGCCUCCGUCUAGCGGUACUUCACAAAAUCAGAUGUUGCGGUCCAGAUACGGUUGUGAUACUGUUGUGGGGACGUGUGAUACGUCUCCGACGUAUCGAUAAUUUCUUAUGUUCUAUGCCACAUUAUUGAUGAUAUCUACAUGUUUUAUGCAUACUUUAUGUCAUAUUUAUGCGUUUUCCGGAACUAACCUAUUGACGAGAUGCCGAAGGGCCAGUUGCUGUUUUCUGUUGUUUUUGGUUUCAG
Lolium perenne is the source of this 2924-nucleotide long non-coding RNA. RefSeq lists it as uncharacterized. Lineage: Eukaryota; Viridiplantae; Streptophyta; Magnoliopsida; Poales; Poaceae. The record is from RefSeq and is a predicted model, not a curated record.